Molecule: ribosomal RNA, 429 nt
Filed under: Bacteroidota bacterium
Lineage: Bacteria; Pseudomonadati; Bacteroidota
Description: Bacteroidetes bacterium partial 16S ribosomal RNA
Rfam family: Bacterial small subunit ribosomal RNA
Source: RNAcentral
UAGGGAAUCUUCCGCAAUGGACGCAAGUCUGACGGAGCAACGCCGCGUGAGUGAAGAAGGAUUUCGGUUCGUAAAACUCUGUUGUUAGAGAAGAACAGCGCAUAGAGUAACUGUUAUGCGUGUGACGGUAUCUAACCAGAAAGCCACGACUAACUACGUGCCAGCAGCCGCGGUAAUACGUAGGUGGCAAGCGUUGUCCGGAUUUAUUGGGCGUAAAGCGAGCGCAGGCGGUCAAUUAAGUCUGAUGUGAAAGCCCCCGGCUCAACCGGGGAGGGUCAUUGGAAACUGGUUGACUUGAGUGCAGAAGAGGAGAGUGGAAUUCGAUGUGUAGCGGUGAAAUGCGUAGAUAUAUGGAGGAACACCAGUGGCGAAGGCGACUCUCUGGUCUGUAACUGACGCUGAGGCUCGAAAGCGUGGGUAGCAAACAGG